Molecule: non-coding RNA, 76 nt
Organism: Podarcis lilfordi (Lilford's wall lizard)
Lineage: Eukaryota; Metazoa; Chordata; Lepidosauria; Squamata; Lacertidae
Source: the annotation of a GenBank genome assembly
GCUAUAGCUCAGUGGUACAACAUCUGCUUUGCAUGCAGAAGGUCCUGGGUACAAUUCGGCUGCUCCAGGUAGAGCU